AGAGUUUGAUCCUGGCUCAGAUUGAACGCUGGCGGAAUGCUUUACACAUGCAAGUCGAACGGCAGCGCGGGAGCUUGCUCCUGGUGGCGAGUGGCGAACGGGUGAGUAAUGCGUCGGAACGUGCCGAGUAAUGGGGGAUAACGCAGCGAAAGCUGUGCUAAUACCGCAUACGCCCUGAGGGGGAAAGUGGGGGAUCGCAAGACCUCACGUUAUUCGAGCGGCCGACGUCUGAUUAGCUAGUUGGUGGGGUAAUGGCCUACCAAGGCGACGAUCAGUAGCGGGUCUGAGAGGAUGAUCCGCCACACUGGAACUGAGACACGGUCCAGACUCCUACGGGAGGCAGCAGUGGGGAAUUUUGGACAAUGGGGGCAACCCUGAUCCGGCCAUUCCGCGUGAGUGAAGAAGGCCUUCGGGUUGUAAAGCUCUUUCAGCUGGAACGAAACGGUACGCGCUAACAUCGUGUGCUAAUG
Molecule: ribosomal RNA, 470 nt
Filed under: uncultured bacterium
Lineage: Bacteria
Description: bacterial SSU rRNA
Rfam family: Bacterial small subunit ribosomal RNA
Source: RNAcentral